CUAUGUCGGCGACCGGCGCACGGGUGCGUAACGCGUAUGCAACCUACCCAUUACAGGGGGAUAACACUGAGAAAUCGGUACUAAUACCCCAUAACAUCCAGGGAGGCAUCUUCUUGGGUUGAAAACUCCGGUGGUAAUGGAUGGGCAUGCGUUGUAUUAGUUAGUUGGUGGGGUAACGGCUCACCAAGACAACGAUACAUAGGGGGACUGAGAGGUUAACCCCCCACAUUGGUACUGAGACACGGACCAAACUCCUACGGAAGGCAGCAG
RNAcentral lists this ribosomal RNA (270 nucleotides) under uncultured bacterium. RNAcentral describes it as "partial 16S ribosomal RNA". It matches the Rfam family "Bacterial small subunit ribosomal RNA", at positions 83 to 354 of the family's 1533-position model. The record is from RNAcentral.